GACGAACGCUGGCGGCGUGCUUAACACAUGCAAGUCGAACGAUGAACCUUCCAUGAUCUAUUCGUAGAGAUUGGAAGCGGAUUAGUGGCGAACGGGUGAGUAACGCGUGAGCAACCUGCCUUAAACAACGGGAUAGCCUCGGGAAACCGGGCUUAAUACCGUAUGAGACCCCGCCUUCCCAUGAAGAAGAGGUCAAAGAUUUAUCGGUUUAAGAUGGGCUCGCGUCUGAUUACCUAGUUGGUGAGAUAAAAGCCCACCAAGGCAACGAUCAGUAAGCGGCUUGAGAGAGUGAACGGUCACAUUGGAACUGAGACACGGUCCAAACUCCUACGGGAGGCAGCAGUGGGGAAUAUUGCACAAUGGGGGAAACCCUGAUGCAGCGACGCCGCGUGAGCGAUGAAGGAAUUCGUUUCGUAAAGCUCUGUCCAAGGGGAAGAUAAUGACAGUACCCUUGGAGGAAGCCCCGGCUAAAUACGUGCCAGCAGCCGCGGUAA
Molecule: ribosomal RNA, 494 nt
Filed under: uncultured bacterium
Lineage: Bacteria
Description: partial 16S ribosomal RNA
Rfam family: Bacterial small subunit ribosomal RNA
Source: RNAcentral